This 801-nucleotide ribosomal RNA is filed under the name Triticum aestivum (bread wheat). RNAcentral describes it as "partial small subunit ribosomal RNA". The record is from RNAcentral. Lineage: Eukaryota; Viridiplantae; Streptophyta; Magnoliopsida; Poales; Poaceae.
GUCGGUGAUUUUAAUGAGAUACUAUUUUCUCAUGAAAAAGAGGGGGGUGCCACACGCCCAGUACGGAUGAUGCAGAACUUCAGAGACGCUCUUAUGGACUGCGAGCUAGAUGAUAUGGGCUACACAGGAGAACUCUUCACUUGGAGGAGACGCCACUUAAGGGAACGACUCAACAGGGCAGUGCGUAACGCUGGUUUUCAUGGCAUGUUCCCAAGCUCUGUCGUUACAAAUGCGUCACAUCUAAAAUCUGAUCACAGACCAGUAGUUCUUGAUACAGAAGGAGACACAGCAGCUUUGCAACAACAAGUGAGGAGCCAGCGUCAAUUCGAGGCGCGCUGGCUCAAAGAGGAUGAGAUAGUGGAUCAUGUGACCGAGGCCUGGGCUCAAACGUCUAGCUCUGGAACGCUAGCUACUCAUACAACUAAGGUUCACAAAGACCUCCAUGACUGGGAUCGGACUGUGUUGAAAUCACCACAAUGCCGUCUGAAGAGUCUCAAGGAGGAGCUUGAACUUUUGCGAUCGGGCCCACUCACUGAUGAGUCGGAAGAUAGACAAAGAAAACUCUUGAUUGAGAUCGAGGAGACAAUGGAGAAGGAAGAAAUAUAUUGGGUGCAAAGGGCCCAUGCAAAUUGGCUCAGAUUUGGCGAUCGGAAUACAAACUAUUUCAAUAACUUUGCAAUGGGCCGAAAGAAAAGAAACUUCAUACAUGGUCUAAUGGAUACAAAUGGCGACUGGACGGAAGAUAACGAAUCCGUGAGGUCCUUGGUCGAAGCUUAUUUCAAGCACCUUUUUUACUGCUGA